Molecule: small RNA, 562 nt
Filed under: Pongo abelii (Sumatran orangutan)
Lineage: Eukaryota; Metazoa; Chordata; Mammalia; Primates; Hominidae
Description: processed transcript
Source: RNAcentral
AAGCAAGUGUCUCAGGCCCAGACAACGGUGCAGCCCAGUGCAACCCUGCAGCGCUCGCCUGGCGUCCAGUCACACAGAAUUUAACACCAGCAGCACUGUUCAAGCUUUCCACCAUGUUGGAAGCAUUAGAACUAUGUCCUUACUAAUACUUGAUCAUAAGGCAUGUCUGAAGCAGAAGCAGCCUGCGGCACAUGGACUAUAAUUUUCACCACACCCUGGGAAGCAGAUGACAUCGCUCCGUUCAUCUCAUGGUGCGGUGCUUAUGCUGAGGCGAGGGAGGUUCUGGGACUCACUCCCGGCCAUGCCACCUGCACGGUGUCUGCCACGCCAUGCUACCACCUGCCGCUUACGUCCCUUGUCCGUAGUGAGAGCAUAGUUCUAGAAGGGUUCUGUAUCCACCCUGGUGGCUGCUGGUUUCUAGAACAGUGUUUUCAUCUGCAGAGAAAAGCGUGUCCCAGAGCAGCCUCAGCUUGUUCUGGGUGGCGCUGCCCAGACGGCCUCACUUGGGACGGCGACGGCUGUUCAGACGGGGACUCCUCAGCGCACGGUUCCAGGGGCAACC